AGUAUUAACUGUCCCAGGACAAAUCUUGAAAACAUAUCUUGCUUCAGUAAACGUCGAUAUUUUCAAAUAGCCAAACACUUAAAUAAAACCUCAGCUGCCCUCUUUAUACUACGAAAUCUACAAGUUCACAACUUUCACCUUUAUAAAAACAGAACCUCUUCUCCCUCUAAAGAGAAGUGGCUCGGUUUGUACUGCGGUGAUGCCAUCGGUCUUCAAACACAGUGAAGCCGCCGGUGUGAAGGAGUUGGAGCACCGCGAAAGCUACGCUAGCCUCGACAAUCCAGUGCAAAACACUUUAUGCCGAGGAUGGGAGCUCGUAACUUGUAGUGCGUGAGUACUACAGGCUCAGAUUUCUAUAAGGCAGUCGAAGUGGCUUCUGAAGCUGGGAGAUUCUACUCUUAGACUUCACUGUGCGCCACACCGGUCCUAAAGAUGCCUAGUCUUCAUUCGCUAUGUGGGCAUCGAUCGUCGGGCUGUCCAUACAGCGAGUGGUUAGUGGAACCUCAUCCCUUUGUUGCUUCUAGGUCCGGAGGCGGCAUCAUCGCAGGAAGUCGGGCAACAUCAGGUCCUCGUGGAUCCGACCGUUGCGGUGAGGCCACCUCAACAAGCACCCCCCGCCGUUUGUGACGGACUACGGCCGCUAGCAGACGUUAUCAAGCUCCGCGAGGUCAAACAGUCGUAGCAGCAACUGAUUGUGACAUAGUUGUUUUGACAAAGUUGUUGUGGCACAGUUAUUGCGGCCUCGUUGCAGCACAGUGCUUGGUGGCAUUGCGACAUAUCGAACCGGAUCGUCGUCCUGCCGGCACAUUCUGAUGGUUCAGGAAGCCGUGGGUCAACAAGAUGGUAAGAGCCAGCCCGGCAGUUCUACAAGCUGUUCCUUGGUGGCUUCGACUACGGUACAACAGACUCCAAGGCGAUUUCGGGCGGCGAGGAGAGCUCGCGGAGUGUACGGUGAUGCGGCUGUGCAACCGGCUACGGGUGGUGGGUUCGGUGGACACGACCAGCCCAACUGUGGGUCAUACAGAAGUGGCGGUACGGUGCUGGAACAUGUCUUGACCGGUGUUUACGGCCUCCUUAGAAGUGGUCCCUCAUAGAGCUGUCAUGGUGUCGCCGGUUGUGAUCCUGAUGGUGUCGUGUCAGUGGCGGUGGAUGUGGCGGGUGCAGGUUCUGCUGCAGGUUGCUCUUUAGUUUGACAAUCCGGGCAAGCUUCCACGGCCAAGAGCUGGGUCGGCGCAACAGCAGUGACUCCCGCGUUCGCUCAUACUUUUUGAUGGAACUUCUAGCCUCAACUGCCGGGAUCUCGACAUGUGAUACGACAUCUUCCGCAUUGUCGUUUGUCGCCACUUCUGGACUUGUUUUUCGUGUGCGGGCGGAAUGGGACGCCAAACACACCGGACGACGACUCGUUCCAGGCACCCUAGUGGCAGCUUGGGAGGUGCCUACCGCAAACGAGUGGAAGGUGGCCACACACUACGAGAGACUACUUUCCAAUGUCUUUUUUUUGCGAAACUUGAAAUUUGGCGAAGGAGACCCAGUGCUUGCGAAUGAGCGGUUGAAUUAAUAGUGCACAUAAGCUCAAAGCAGCGUGUAAAGACUCACAUUUUUUUGCCGCAUAGAUUUGGAAAAUAUACAAUCUGCAAGUCAGCGGUGCAUUUCCUAGACUGCAAGUCCAAUACAUGAACUCGCAGUCUCGAUCCCGUCUCUUGGCGGUGGGUGUAAGCCUACGCCAAUAGACGUGGGCUUCGGUGAUACUGUCUGUUGAAAGUUGGCAAGGCCAAUAUUGACACCGUCUAGGUGAAGCACAGUCAAGGUGCUCGGGCAUUACCGAUUAUAUAUCACGACGGAAGGAUUGUGCCAGGAUACGCCGUAUCAUCUCUAUGCAGUCUCUUGAUCCCACAUCGAGUAUCGUCGAUGUGCCAAAAAGUUUGUCUGCCGUUCAAAGUUCCAGUGGCCCGCAUUGUGGCACCUGUGGUCGCAUUCGGUGCCCGUCGUGGUUUCACUUCGUGCGCGUGUGUGCACAAAUAGGUUGGCGUUCGAGUGUGGCACGAUCGAGUUUGUCGGAACUUUUUUUCACAAUCAUCGAUCGUACGAGCAUUUUUACCAUUUUGUAAAUUUAUUAUUACGACACAGAAGUCCUAAUUGUUCAUCGAGCUGCUGAGCCAAUUUAUUGGUAGUACUGCAAAGAGUUUGUCGUACGCGGAAAUGGGAUUUUCCCGGUUUACAUACUUGCAAGAAGUCCUGAGGCCCUUUGAGAAAACAUUUUUUUGUUUUCAGUUUAGACCUGUCAAGUGCUCUGGUUCUUCACUUUUUCUGCCUUGUGUUUUAGAAAGGGGAAUAAAGCUUGAAGACCUUGAA
Molecule: long non-coding RNA, 2355 nt
Filed under: Ixodes scapularis (black-legged tick)
Lineage: Eukaryota; Metazoa; Arthropoda; Arachnida; Ixodida; Ixodidae
Description: uncharacterized LOC121834993
Source: RNAcentral